UGUUUAGAAUUUUCAGAAAUAUAUAACAACGACAUCGCAGGGACAGUGCUUCAGUGGUUUGGGUCGUACCUCUCAAACAGGUCACAGGCAGUCUAAUUGGUGAU
Haliotis rubra (blacklip abalone) is the source of this 104-nucleotide long non-coding RNA. RefSeq lists it as uncharacterized. The record is from RefSeq and is a predicted model, not a curated record. NCBI's taxonomy places the organism in Eukaryota, Metazoa, Mollusca, Gastropoda, Lepetellida, Haliotidae. The transcript has 4 exons.